UACGAGGGGGGCAAGCGUUGUCCGGAUUCAUUGGGCGUAAAGGGUGCGUAGGUGGCGCCGUAAGUCGGGUGUGAAAUUUCGGAGCUUAACUCCGAAACUGCAUUCGAUACUGCGGUGCUUGAGGACUGGAGAGGAGACUGGAAUUCAUGGUGUAGCAGUGAAAUGCGUAGAGAUCAUGAGGAAGACCAGUGGCGAAGGCGGGUCUCUGGACAGUAACUGACGCUGAGGAGCGAAAGCGUGGGGAGCAAACAGG
Molecule: ribosomal RNA, 253 nt
Filed under: uncultured bacterium
Lineage: Bacteria
Description: partial 16S ribosomal RNA
Rfam family: Bacterial small subunit ribosomal RNA
Source: RNAcentral